UACGAAGGGGGCUAGCGUUGCUCGGAAUCACUGGGCGUAAAGCGCACGUAGGCGCUUCUUAAGUCAGGGGUGAAAUCCUGGGGCUCAACCCCAGAACUGCCCUUGAUACUGAGGAGCUUGAGUCCGGGAGAGGUGAGUGGAACUCCGAGUGUAGAGGUGAAAUUCGUAGAUAUUCGGAAGAACACCAGUGGCGAAGGCGGCUCACUGGCCCGAAACUGACGCUGAGACGCGAAAGCGUGGGGAGCAAACAGG
RNAcentral lists this ribosomal RNA (252 nucleotides) under uncultured bacterium. RNAcentral's name for it is "partial 16S ribosomal RNA". It matches the Rfam family "Bacterial small subunit ribosomal RNA", at positions 524 to 776 of the family's 1533-position model. The record is from RNAcentral.